AAGUCCACAAAGCCCAUUAUCACCCUCCAAAAAAAAAAAAAAAACACUCCCAAGUCUCAAUGCAUCUCCGUUACCGGAGAGCAGCUCGCCCGCUCAAAUUCUCUAGGUUAGUCCCUUUCUUUGAUUUAUCUCUCUCUCUCUCUCUGUUCUCUAAUGGACUAUGAUUUCAACAAAUACACAGCUCUCUCUCUUUCUCAGAAUAGAAAUUAAAUAAAAUCGGCGAAAACGUGAAAGAAUGGCUGAGAAAUUGGCUCCAGAGAAGCGCCACAGCUUCGUCCGUGAAGAUAAAACUGUAUUUGAGUGGGAUCAAACCCUCGAAGAGGUGAAUAUUUACAUAAAUUUACCGCCAAAUGUUCACUCUAAGCAGUUUUACUGCAAGAUUCAGUCCAAACAUGCCUUCAUUAGCAUGUCAAGAAAUCCUGACGAUCUUCUGGUAAACGGCACGAGUAUUUGUGUUUCUCCCUUCAGUCCUGAGACUUUAAUUAGCCUACCAGUCUUGUAGCAAUAUUUGUAAUAAGCGGAUGUGCUCAGUUUGUUUCUUGCUUUUGCAACUGUAAAGUGUAAAUCAAAGUGUUUUUUUUUUGCGAUCUUUCUCCCAGUGUGCCUGAUCGCUAUAGUUAAAAAUCCCAUGUCUCUCUUUUUUUGGGCUACAGAAGCAAAUUUACGUACCCAAACCAGUCUUAACAAGUUUAUUAAGUGAUGGAUGAAUUAUUUCUAGAAA
Long non-coding RNA from Populus trichocarpa (black cottonwood), 721 nucleotides. RefSeq lists it as uncharacterized. The transcript has 2 exons. The record is from RefSeq and is a predicted model, not a curated record. Lineage: Eukaryota; Viridiplantae; Streptophyta; Magnoliopsida; Malpighiales; Salicaceae.